This 160-nucleotide unclassified non-coding RNA is filed under the name plant metagenome. RNAcentral's name for it is "partial contains small subunit ribosomal RNA and internal transcribed spacer 1". The stretch from base 1 to 46 matches the Rfam family "Eukaryotic small subunit ribosomal RNA", at positions 1786 to 1831 of the family's 1831-position model. The record is from RNAcentral.
AAGUCAUAACAAGGUUUCCGUAGGUGAACCUGCGGAAGGAUCAUUACGAGUUGUAUCUCUUCAGAGACACUUCCACCCUUGACAAUUUACCUCUUGCUUGGCCUUUCGAGGCCAACAUUCUUUCUGAAGCAGUUGUCUGAAGCAGAUCAAAUUAAGAAAA